ACGGUGGCACAGAAUCGGAAGCCCCGACUGUUUACUAAAAACACAGAUCGCUGCAAUGAUUAAUAUCAUAGUAUAGCGGUCGAAAUUUGCCCGAUGCCAUUAAUAUAAGAGAGGUUAUGGGUAACUGUAACUAAUUGAAAGUCUGGUUAAUAGCGGUCUUAACUAUGAGGAUCCUAAGGUAGCAAAAUAAAUUGGCCAUUAAAUGUGGUCCGGUAUCAAUAAUUUAACGAUGGCUUCACUGUCUCUACAACUUGCUCAGUGAAAUUGAAUUACCCGUGCAGAUGCGGGUUACCUCCAGGGGGACGGGAAGACCCUAUGCAGCUU
This 324-nucleotide ribosomal RNA is filed under the name Hygrophorus purpurascens. RNAcentral describes it as "LSU rRNA". It matches the Rfam family "Bacterial large subunit ribosomal RNA", at positions 1773 to 2101 of the family's 2925-position model. The record is from RNAcentral. Lineage: Eukaryota; Fungi; Basidiomycota; Agaricomycetes; Agaricales; Hygrophoraceae.